CUUUAAGAAAUAUAUCUGCAAAACUAGUCUGGGUUCUAACUACAGAAUCAGACAUUGUAAUGGUCAUUUGGAACCUUGGGACCUUGGGGAAGAGAGUCCCACAGAUGGAGUGACACAACUGGAACUUACAUUAGCUGGCAUAGUACUUCCUGAAAUUCAAACAGCAUGG
Long non-coding RNA from Myotis brandtii (Brandt's bat), 169 nucleotides. RefSeq lists it as uncharacterized. The record is from RefSeq and is a predicted model, not a curated record. NCBI's taxonomy places the organism in Eukaryota, Metazoa, Chordata, Mammalia, Chiroptera, Vespertilionidae. The transcript has 3 exons.